AUGCCUCCCCUCAAGACUGUUCCUCGUGCCAAAGCCAGACUUAGCAAGAGAGCUAAAUUGAGUAAACCAACUGAUGAUAACCAGGCCACUGAACCGGAGAAGACCCUCGAGGCUCAUGAUCCAAGUGUUGAUGUUGUCCUGGAAGAUCUGGCACCUCAAGUUCAUGAUACUUUCGUUGAACCGGACGAGAUAAAUAAAAAAACCAGCCUGCUGAUCCGCCAAGCCCUUCUGUCAAUCCACCAAGCCCAGCAAGAACAUCUGCUAAACCUCCAAGCCCAGCAAAAACUGUUGAUGGUACCACAGAUGAUGUUGUAA
Molecule: ribosomal RNA, 315 nt
Filed under: Triticum aestivum (bread wheat)
Lineage: Eukaryota; Viridiplantae; Streptophyta; Magnoliopsida; Poales; Poaceae
Description: partial small subunit ribosomal RNA
Source: RNAcentral